GGUUGACCUCGGAUCAGGUAGGGAUACCCGCUGAACUUAAGCAUAUCAAUAAGCGGAGGAAAAGAAACCAACAGGGAUUGCCUCAGUAACGGCGAGUGAAGCGGCAACAGCUCAAAUUUGAAAUCUGGCCCUCGCAGGGUCCGAGUUGUAAUUUGUAGAGGAUGCUUCGGGUUCGGCUCCGGUCUAAGUUCCUUGGAACAGGACGUCACAGAGGGUGAGAAUCCCGUACGUGACCGGCCGCCACGCCCGUGUGAAGCUCCUUCGACGAGUCGAGUUGUUUGGGAAUGCAGCUCCAAAUGGGUGGUAAAUUUCAUCUAAAGCUAAAUACUGGCCAGAGACCGAUAGCGCACAAGUAGAGUGAUCGAAAGAUGAAAAGCACUUUGGAAAGAGAGUUAAAAAGUACGUGAAAUUGUUGAAAGGGAAGCGCUUGCAACCAGACUUGCCCGCGGGUGAUCAGCCGGUAUUCUUACCGGUGCACUCGCCCGUGGUCAGGCCAGCAUCGGUUUGGGCGGCUGGACAAAGGCCUCCGGAAUGUAGCUCC
Molecule: small RNA, 541 nt
Filed under: Myriospora smaragdula
Lineage: Eukaryota; Fungi; Ascomycota; Lecanoromycetes; Acarosporales; Acarosporaceae
Description: eukaryotic LSU rRNA
Rfam family: Eukaryotic large subunit ribosomal RNA
Source: RNAcentral